AGUUUGAUCCUGGCUCAGGAUGAACGCUGGCGGCGUGCCUAAUACAUGCAAGUCGAACGAGGUGGAUGGGAGCUUGCUCCUUGAUACCGAGUGGCGAACGGGUGAGUAACACGUAGGUAACCUGCCCUUAAGGCUUGGGAUACCCAGAGGAAACUUUGGCUAAUACCGGAUAACAACAGAGGAGGCAUCUCCUUUGCUUGAAAGGCCUUACAGGGUCACUUAAGGAUGGACCUGCGGCGCAUUAGCUAGUUGGUGAGAUAAAAGCCCACCAGGGCGAGGAUGCGUAGCCGACCUGAGAGGGUGAUCGGCCACAUUGGAACUGAGACACGGUCCAAACUCCUACGGGAGGCAGCAGUAAGGAGUUUUCGGCAAUGGGGGAAACCCUGACCGAGCAACGCCGCGUGAGUGAUGACGGCCCUAUGGGUUGUAAAGCUCUGUUGUAAGGGACGAACGAUCGUUUAGGAAAUGAAACGGUUCUGACGGUACCUUACCAGAAAGCCACGGCUAACUACGUGCCAGCCGCGGC
Molecule: ribosomal RNA, 526 nt
Filed under: uncultured bacterium
Lineage: Bacteria
Description: bacterial SSU rRNA
Rfam family: Bacterial small subunit ribosomal RNA
Source: RNAcentral